This 781-nucleotide non-coding RNA is filed under the name Parablepharis kuhlii asiatica. The record is from RNAcentral. Lineage: Eukaryota; Metazoa; Arthropoda; Insecta; Mantodea; Hymenopodidae.
UUGAAAGUAUUCACUUAAACAUUAAUUUAUAUGUAAAUUUUUGUAAAUUAUAUUUCUAGAUGGAAUUUAAAAUAUUCAAAGGCAGUAAAUGAUAUUAUUUAUAUUAAAUUGUUUUAGAUUUGGUAAAUGUUUUUAAAAUUUGGAAUAUGCUGUGCCAGCAUCUGCGGUUAUACAGCAAAGUUAAGUGAAUAUUUUUAGUUUUUAAAUAAUUAUUAUUUUAUUAUUUAUAUAAAAAUUAAUUUAUUUUGUGGUGAAAUAUUUAAUGUUAUGUGUUAUUAUAUAUAUUAGUAUGAUUAUUAUGAAAUUGAAAUUAUAAACUAGGAUUAGAUAACCUAUUAUUUUUAUUGUAAAGGAUUUUAUAGGCUGGAGUAUUAAUAGAUAAAUCUUUAAACUUAAAGAAUUUGGCGGUACUAUAGUCUAUUUAGAGGAAUCUGUUAUGUAAUUGAUAAUCCACGUUGAACCUUACUUAUAUUAUUUCUUGUAUACCGUUGUUUAAGAUUAUUUUUUAAGAUUAUUUUCUGAAUAUUAAAUUAUUUAAUAUUUCAAAUCAAGGUGCAGUAAUAUAUAAGUUAAAUAAUGGAUUACAAUAAAUUUUAUUUAUACGGAUGUAUAUUGAAAUAUAAUGUGAAGGUGGAUUUAAUUGUAAUUUUUUAAAUCUUAUUAAAAUGAUCAUGGCUCUAUAUUAUGUACACAUCGCCCGUCACUCUCAUUUAUAAGGUGAGAUAAGUCGUAACAAAGUAGGUGUAUCGGAAGAUGUACCUAGAAAGAAAUAUUUAAUUAA